RNAcentral lists this long non-coding RNA (11107 nucleotides) under Prunus persica (peach). Its description in RNAcentral is "long non-coding RNA (PPER_LNC008444)". Lineage: Eukaryota; Viridiplantae; Streptophyta; Magnoliopsida; Rosales; Rosaceae. The record is from RNAcentral.
AUGCAGUCCAACUAGCAAAGCUCGGAAACACUCAUGUCACAGCCACCUGUGGAGCUCGUAACGUCGAAUUGGUUAAGAGCUUAGGGGCAGAUGAAGUUCUUGACUACAAGACCCCGGAUGGGGCAGCUCUGAAGAGCCCGUCUGGCCGGAAAUAUGAUGCUGUGAUCAACUGUGCAACCGGCAUCGCUUGGUUAACUUUUGAGCCUAAUUUGAGUGCAAAAGGGAAAGUUAUAGACAUUGCCCCAAAUGCAAGUUCUUUCACUACAUUUCUUUUGAAGAAACUCACUUUCUCCAAGAAGUCCUUGGUGCCAUUGCUCAUGAUCCCCAAGGCUGAGAGCUUGGAUUAUCUUGUUAAUUUGGUGAAGGAAGGAAAGCUCAAGACGGUGAUCGACUCAAAGCAUCCCAUAAGCAAGGCUGAAGAUGCUUGGGCUAAGAGUAUUGAUGGCCAUGCUACGGGGAAGAUCAUUGUGGAGCCUUAGGUAGCCAAAAUAUUAUAUCUUCAAAUUGUGAAGUACAUGUACUUAUAUUAAGGAUUGUAAACUUCAUACACUUUUUUUGGGACUGUAAAUUUCAUGUGGAUUAGAGCAUCUCCAACCGAUAUCUCAAAGAGGAAUGCUAGCAACCUUCUCCUUUGGAUCUUCUCCAUUUUUUGCUUGACAUGUGUCAUUAUCCUUACACUUAAAACAAUGUCAUUAAUAUAUUAUACAAGCUAACUUUUGCUUUUCAAGUUUACUCUUAUUAAAUGUAUUGAAUUUAUCCAAAAAAAUUUCAAAACUUUCUUACCAUCUUAUUAAUUUUUUUCUAAAGAAAAUAUAUGCUUUUAAGAGGAAAUGUCCGGUUUUUUUUUUUAAUUUAAAUUUUUUUUAUUUUUAACACAAAGGGUUUAGAUAGAAAAAAAAAAAAAAAAGUCCUUUGUGUUUUUAAAAAAACGGACAUUUCCUCUUUUUUGAAAAAAUCGUAUAUUUUCUUUAAAAAAAUAAUUGACGUUAAAAAAAAAUGAUGGUAAGAAAGUUGUGAAUUUUUUUUUUGGAUAAAUUGAAUACAUUUAAUAAGGGUAAAAUUUGAAUAGCAAAAGUUAACUUGUAUAAUAUAUUAAUGACAUUGUUUUAAGUGUAAGGAGAAUGACACAUGUCAAGUAAAAAAUGGAGAAGGUCCAAAAGAGAAGGUUAGAGAGAAGGUUGCUAGCAUUCCCCUAUGUCAAAAGUGUCACAUAACCAUUUAACGGCUAGAAAUAACAUUGCACAUCACUCCAACCGAUGUGUCAAAGUGGAUGUGGAAUGAAGGCUGGAAGUUUAGAUGUUAUUUUUGACAUCUCAAAAGCAUGAUGUCAAAUGAAUAUUUUAUUAUUAUUCUUUUCUUUUCUUUUUAAUUAAAAAUAAAUCAACACUAAAAUUUAAUAAAAUAAUAAUUUAAUUUGACAUAUUGGGUGGAGUGUAAAGCUGUGUAAGAUGUCAAAUUGCCACAUCAGCUAUUAAAUUUAAAUUUGAUGUUUGGUAUUUGACAUCUUCCUUGGAGAUGCUCUUAGAACAACGUAUUAAUACUUUGUACAUUUUUCUUUAUUUUGUUGAGAAAUUCAAGAGUUAUAAGGUAUUUUUGAGUGAAACUAGGCUCCGAUACUAAUACGAGCUCAUGAGUAGAACUUUCCCCUAAAAAUCGGUUUGUAAAAAUUUGAUUCAAAGCGGCAAUCAGAACUUGCAAAAAAAAGAAUAAAUUUUUUGAUUCAAUUGUCGACCUGCACAUUAUAAAAUCCAAACAUCUUCGGGAGCACAAUCUAAUUAUCUAUGGCACUUUUUAAAGAAAGUACAACCUAUACAUAGUAUACAUAAAAAUGCAGGGUAUUUCCGUCAUUUUAAUUAAUAUUACAGUUGGCAACUUGAGAUGCAUCCACGUGUGGUAUACGUCAAAAACCUUCCACAAGAAUCUAGUAACGCUUCCUCUCUCUCUCUCUCUCUCUCUCUCUCUGUUCAAAUCUUGGAUCUUUCCUUUCUCUUUUGUCUCUGCCGACUCAGGUUAUGGCAGCAGCCAUGGCGUCGAAGCUUAUGCAUGCGGUUCAGUACGACAGCUACGGUGGAGGAGCUUCUGGUUUAAAGGUUCUUUCUUUUUCUACUUGUUUACUUUCAUCUUUCAUUCCUGCUGUGAUUUUUGCUUCUGGUAUUUUGUUAACCGCUUAAUAUUCGGUGGUGUGUAAAAGAAGAAAAAAAAACUGUAUUAACUUUUAGAGUGGUGGGUGGGAGAGUUCAGGCUUAAAAUUGAUUGCAUCAAAAAUAUUUUUGGCCAUGAAAUCCAAAAGGAAAAACGAGAAACAGAACAACCAAUGAGAAAAUGCUUCAGGGUUGUGUUGAAUAUUUACUUACUUGUAGAGAACUUGAAAAUUGUUUAUAAUUUAUGUUUGUUUGCAGCAUGCGGAGGUUCCAGUCCCCACUCCAAAGAAAGGUGAUAUCUUGCUGAAAUUGGAAGCUGCUAGUUUAAACCCAGUUGAUUGGAAAAUUCAGAAAGGCAUGUUUCGGCCUCUUUUGCCACGCAAAUUCCCUCAUAUACCUGGUAAGUGCUGUUUUGCCUGGUGUUGUAGUUGUGUAUUUCAGAUCUAUGCAUCUUUGACAUUAUAAUAUAGAAAUUAUUCCACAACACCAAAAAAAAAAGGUUAUGCCUUUUUGGCACACCGGUGUUUCUGGGAUGACCAACAUGCUAUCAAACUCAACUGAAAAAUGAAUAAAAAAUUGAAUGCUCUCUCGGUGACAUGAAUUGACGACUCCAGUUUUUUACCUGCCUCCUUUACAGACUCUGCUGUGCUUGUUUUUGCAAAUCUUUUAUCACUGCCUGUAGUUUUUGGUGAUGUGAAAUUUACUCAAUUUUGUUAAGUUCAACUAGAAUUUGCCUGUUCCCAGAAACAGUUAACUUUCUGGGAACGUAUUGAUUGAUAAACUAUUUGAUCUUGAUUAAUUACUGCAUCAUUGGAACAUAAAGCAUACCCACUGUGUCUUGAAGAGAUUGCCAUCUAUGAAGAAGUGAAUAUUGAAAAGUGAUCAUAAUGGUUACGGAUUAAUAUAUUUCAGUAAAAUCUCUCAUUCAGACUUUAUUCAUUUGUGGAAGUAUUGCAAGAGUUGAGGUAGAAAAGUUAAACAAAUUUGUGCUUUGAUUUUUAAGUGGAUGAAUAUCAUUCAUAUAUUGUUAGAAGAGUUGUUUUGUGAGUCAUAGGCUGAUAGGUUGGUUUGAUAACAUUGUUUAGCUAAUGACAAUCUUGGGAACAGUUACUGAUGUUGCUGGAGAGGUUGUAGAAGUUGGACAAGGGGUCCAAAAGUUCAAACCGGGCGACAAAGUUGUGGCAUUUCUCACCCACACUGUAAGUGUUCAUUUUAUUCCUUUGGUUAAGCUCUCCAUUUCUUGAGGAAGUUUCACUUAUAAAUCUCAUUUGUUUGUUAGAAUGGAGGUGGACUAGCUGAAUUUGCUGCAGCUAGUGAGAGCUUGACAGUUGCCAGGCCACCUGAAGUUUCAGCGGCUGAUGGUGCAGGCUUACCUGUUGCUGGUCUCACAGCUCACCAGGCUCUCACCCAAGCUGCAGGGGUCAAGCUUGACGGAUCUGGCCAGCAAAAGAACAUAUUGAUUACUGCUGCCUCUGGUGGUGUGGGUCAGUAUGCAGUCCAACUAGCAAAGCUCGGAAACACUCAUGUUACAGCCACGUGCAGUGCUCGUAACAUCGAAUUUGUCAAGAGCUUGGGGGCAGAUGAGGUUCUCGACUACAAGACCCCAGAAGGAGCAGCUCUGAAUAGUCCAUCUGGUAGGAAAUAUGAUGCUGUGGUCCAUUGUGCUACGGGCAUUCCCUGGUCAACUUUCGAGCCUAAUUUGAGCGCCAACGGGAAGGUUAUAGACCUUACUCCUAGUCCAAGUGCCUUUGCUACUUUUGCUCUGAAGAAACUCACCUUCUCCAAGAAGCAGCUGGUGCCACUGUUCAUGAGUGCCAAGAGUGAGAACCUUGAUUAUCUUGUCAAGUUAGUGAAGGAAGGAAAGCUCAAGACUGUGAUCGACUCGAAGCAUCCUCUGAGCAAGGCUGAAGAUGGUUGGGCUAAGAGUAUUGAUGGACAUGCAACUGGGAAGAUAAUUGUGGAGCCUUAAGUAGACAAACGAAAACUAUAGUGGGAUAUAAACCUCACGUACUUGAUGGAAGUUGUUUGAUACAGAUAGUUAUGUCAUGUGUAAUAUAAAAUUAUAUAAUAAUGUGGGGUUUUAUAAUCCUGAAUCAAUAUUGUAAAUAUUGAGGUUUGGAUUAUAUAUUGUUCAUUUUCAUGUUGAUUAUAUUUCACAGUAAAUUCAUAUAGUUCUCUCAAAAACGAAUUUACUCGGUUAUCAAACCAGUAAUAUGGGUUUAGACUCUAGAGAGAGAUGACGAUGGUUGAUAUAAUCAAAUGAAAUAUAAAUAUAUAAAAAAUAGAAAGCCGAAGCAUCAUGAAUCAUGAACAAUUCUACUCUGUUUUACUAUAGACGUGGGCUAAUUACGCACUAGCAACAACGCAAGCUUACUUCAUAAAAUCUGAGACGAGUUUCAAGUUCUGUCGAUUCUUCUGAACAAAACUGAGGGAAGCCUAGGGUGGCAACAAAAAAAAAAAACUGAGGGAGGCUAUGGCGAAAAAUGUUAUGCAUGCAGGCUGUGGUGGUGGACGACCUUCUGGCUUAGAGGUUAUUCAAAUUACAUUUCUUCAAUUUCUAAAUAAAAGUUUCCCUCUGUCAAAUUAGUUUCCUUUUGUUUCUCUUGAAUUAUACUCUCUGUUUGUCCUUGAAGAAAAACCCUUUUACAUUACACGAUCAACUUGUCCACUAUAAACCCCAUGAAAAUUAAAUCACAUGGUGCCUAAUGGAUCUUUUUUCAAGUACUUGUUUGAGUAAAUCAAAAUUUGAAAUGUUGUGAAGGAAAAGAUAAAGGGAGUCUUUUCUGAGUUUUCUUCUUUCCUUUUGCUAAUGUUUUUAUGUUGGGAGAAGGGAUACGGGUUGAGAAAAACUUGCAUGUCACGUGAUAGCACAUAUUAAGCGUGGCAUAACGUGAUUGAUUGGGGAUAGCAAAACAGUGCUAUCCCCAUGACAUGCAAAUUCUUCUUUCUUCUCGUAAGGGUGUGGUGGAGGUUGUGGUUGAGAAUGACCAAGACUAGCUUUUGUACUUGGAAAGGAAACAUACAAUUUGUUUAUGCAUUGAAGAACAUAUUAUUGUUAAGUCAUUGGCCCUUAAUCAAUUUUGGUGCUAAUUGCAGCAUGUUGAAAUUCCAAUUCCAAAUUCAUACAAAGAUCAAGGGAGAGGUGUUGCUGAAAUUGGAGGUGGCUAGUCUAAAGUCAACCCCAUUUGAUUGGAAUGGAAAGUUUGAGAAAGGUAUGCCGUGGACUUUGUUGCCUCCCACCAAUUUUCACACGUACCUCAUGUGACAGCCACUCGCACUUUUGUGGAGCUCGUAGCCUUGACUUGGUCAAGACCUCAGAAGGAGCAAGCAGCUCUACAAGAGAAGAGUCCAUCUCCAUUUGGUCCAAAAUAUGAUGCUGUGAUGUGAUCCAUUAGGCAUUCCUCUGUCAACUUUUCAGCCUAAUUUGAGUGCCACUGGUAUGAUGCUGCUGUGAUUCUAAUGCGAACUCAUGAGUAGAACUUGCCUCUAAAAACCGAAUUGUAAAAGUUUGGUUCAACUCGGCAAUCAGAAUUUUCCAAAUUUUUUUUUUAAAGUUCGAUUCAAUUUUCGGCCAACACAUUGUGAAAAUCAAAACUUUUUGAAAGAAAGCACAACCUAUAGCACUUUUCAAAGAAAGCACAGCCUAUAUAUACGUCAAAACCAUUCCACAAGAAUGUAGUAACACGUCCUCUCUCUCUCUCUCUCUCUCUCUCUCGUAAAAUCUAGGAUCUUUCCUUUCUCGUCUGUCUCUGCUGACUCAGGGUAUGACAUUGGCAGCCAUGGCGACAAAGCUUAUGCGUGCGGUUCAGUACAACAGCUAUGGUGGAGGAGCUUCUGGUUUAAAGGUUCCUUCUUUAUCUACUUGUUUCUUCUAUCAAUGUUAUUUGGUAUAAUUCUCUCAUAUUUCAUUCCCUGCUGUGAUUUUUGCUUCUGACAUUUUGUUAACCGCUUAAUAUUCUCUGGUGCGUAAAAAAAAGAAAAAAAAAUGCAUCAACUUUUAGAGUGGUGGGAGAGUUCAGGCUUAAAACUGAGUGCAUCCUAAAUAUGUUUGGCCUUGAAAUCCCAAAGGGAAAAAAGAGAAACUGAACAACCAGUGAGAAAAUGCUUCAGGGUUGUGUUGAAUGUUUACUUGCUUGUGCCUCUUCUUUGCUUUUCAAAAGCAAUAAAUCCAUGGACGAAAUCAUACAAGUGUAAAAAGACCUUAAUAAAUUGUUUUAAAUAUAUUUUAUGUUUGGUGCAGCAUGUAGAGGUUCCAGUGCCCACUCCAAAGAAAGGUGAGAUCUUGCUGAAAUUGGAAGCAGCUACUAUGAACCCGGUUGAUUGGAGAAUUCAGAAAGGCAAGAUGCGGCCUUUUUUUCCACCCAAAUUCCCUCAUAUACCUGGUAAGUUCUGUUUUGCCUGGUUUUCCCCUAAACCCCUUCUUAUAUUCAUAUCAUUCAAUUGGUAGCAUAUAAGCUGCAACAUACUGAUCAACAAACUGCCUGAUUUUUAUUAAUUACUACAUCAUUGGAACAUAAAGCAUACGCUCUGUGUCCCAAAAGAAUUUUCCUCUUUGAGGAAGUGAUCAUAAUGGUUACAGAUUAAUACAUCUUGACUCUCGAUAAAAUCUCUCAUUGAGACUUUUAUUCAUUUGUGGAAGUAUUGAGAGAGUUGAGGUAGAUAAAUUAGUUGGAUUCCGAAACAAAUUUGUGCUUCGACUUUUAAAAUGGGUGAACAUCAUUCCUAUGUUACGAGAAGAGUUUUGUGAUUUAUACAAGCAGUGUUUGUGAGUCUUAGGCUGGUAGGUUGGUUUGUUAACAGUGAUUGGCUAAUGAAAAUAUUGGGAACAGCUACUGAUGUUGCUGGAGAGGUUGUAGAAGUUGGAAAAGGGGUCCAAAAGUUCAAACCGGGCGACAAAGUUGUGGCAUAUCUCACCCUCGCUGUAAGCCUUCAUUGUAUUCCUUUGGUUAAUCUCUCCCUUUCUUGAAGAAUUUAUUGCACUUGGCAACAAGUUUCACUUAUAAAUUUCGUUUGUUUGUUAGAAUGGAGGUGGACUGGCUGAGUUUGUCACAGCUAGUGAGAGCUUGACAGUUGCCAGGCCACCUGAAGUUUCAGCAGCUCAAGGUGCAGGCUUACCUAUUGCUGGUCUCACAGCUCUCCAGGCUCUCACCCAAGCUGCAGGGCUUAAUCUCGACGGAAGUGGCCAGAAAAAGAACAUCUUGAUUACUGCUGCCUCUGGUGGUGUGGGUCAGUAUGCAGUCCAACUAGCAAAGCUCGGAAACACUCAUGUUACAGCCACAUGCGGUGCUCGUAACAUCGAAUUUAUCAAGAGCUUGGGGGCAGAUGAGGUUCUUGACUACAAGACCCCAGAAGGAGCAGCUCUGAUUAGCCCAUCUGGUAGGAAAUAUGACAUCGCUGUCCAUUGUGCAAUAACGGGCAUUCCCUGGUCAACUUUCAAGCCUAAUUUGAGCGCCAACGGGAAGGUUAUAAACAUUACUCCUGGUCCAAGUACCUGGGCUGCUAUUGCUCAGAACACACUCACCUUCUCCAAGAAGCAGCUGGUGCCACUGCUCUUGUGGGCUAAGAGUGAGAACCUUGAUUAUCUUGUCAAGUUAGUCAAGGAAGGAAAGCUCAAGACAGUGAUCGACUCUAAGCACCCUCUAAGCAAGGCUGAAGAUGCUUGGGCUAAGAGUAUUGAUGGACAUGCAACUGGGAAGAUAAUCGUGGAGCCUUAAGUAGAAAACUAUAGUGGGAUAUAAACUUCAUGUCUUUAAUGGGAGUCGUUUGUUCUUUGGUCGAAAUAAUGGAAGUCGUUCGAUACAGAUGGUUAUGUGCAAUUAAUGGGGUAAUUAUACAAUUUUGGUCGUUGGGAUUUGAUGGAUAUGAUAGAGGUUAGGAUGGGGUGGUUUUGUCUUUUUCUUGUUGUCUUUUUUUAAUUUUAUAUAUUUGAUUUAAAAUUUUUAUUUAAUGUUUAGGACAAUAAAGCUCCUACCAAACUAACGGAAUUGAAGGCUUUGACUUGAUUUGUUAACGACAGCAAGUACAAUGAUGAAAUCGGGAAAAUUAAAAUCACAGUGACUAAAAUUGUUUGUUUAUUUGUUUUUUUUUUUUUAAUACAAACGAUAUUGGAGAGGGAAAAUCAAACUUAGAAACUCAAAUGCAAGAUUAAUACUUUUAACCAUUUGAAAUAAAACUAUCUCGCUAAUGUGAGGUUUUUUUAUAAUCAUGAAUCAAUGUUGUAAAUAAUGAGGUUUGGAUUUAUUGUUCAUUUUCAUGUUGAUUAUAUUUCACAGUAAUUCAUUUGGUUCUCUCAAAAAAGAUCAGUCACCAAGCAAGUAAUAUGAGUUUAGAGACCCUAGCAAAAAUGAAAUAUAAAUAAGAAAAUAGAAAGCAGAAGCGUUACGAAUCAUGAAACAAAUCUACUCUGUUCCUAGCCAAAAAUAAAAAUAAAAAUAAAAAUAAAUGAAAACUAGUACUUGUAUAAGAAUAAGAGGUUGAAAAUGGGAGGAGCUGGAGAGAAAAAGUGAUUGUGUGAUGAGUUCCUAUCUCAGGCAGCACACUGAGGCAUGGCGGGAUCUCGGUCUGUGGGGUCAACCUUGAUCACUUAUUUUGUCGAUGUGGGACUUUUGGCAAUCAUCCUCUUCCUCUCAUGCCAAAGUACCUGGCUGCUCGAUUCAGAAGCAAACCCUCCGAAGGGACGGGCCACUAGUUGGCCAUGCCGAAUGUUGCAGCAAUGAUACCAGCUGUGUGAAGCCCACACAACGAUCCGAAUCUGGAAAGUCCGAGUACGACGAGCCAGAUUGAAGUCGGUGAGGCACGGAACGACGCCAUUGUGGUCAAUGUGUAUUUAUCUUAUGAUACCAUCCCGCCGCUAACCAUUCUAUUUCUUCCACCUCAUCUUCCUGUCGCACAACCUCAUCAACAAGAUAACUCAAAGUCUUCCUGUUACUCUGAUGGUCAAGAGAAGUGUAUGCGUUUAUAGAUGACACGUUUUCUUUAUUGCGGGUGACAUAGAACAUAUGUAUGAGUUUGUUCCACGAUAGACGUGGGCUAUUUAGUCAAUUCACAUGUCUCACAGUGGUGUACGUUGCACCCAAGCUUACUUCUUAAAAUCUGAGAGGAGCUUCAAGUUCUGUCGACUCUUCUGAACAAAACUGAGGCCAUGGCAAAAAAUGUUAUGCAUGCGGUUCAGUAUGAUGGCUACGGUGGAGGACCUUCUGGCUUAAAGGUUACUCAUUUGGUUUCCCUCUGUCAAAUUAGUUUCCUUUCUUUUGUUUCUCUUGAAUUAUACUCUCUGAUUGUCCUUGAAGAAAAACCCUUUUCCACUAUAAGAAAAUUAAUUGAAACCCAUUUUCACAUGGUGUCCAAACCUUGUAAUGAAAUGGGCAGGUGACAUAAUGGGUCCUUUUUCAAGUACUUGUUAUUGUUAAGAGUAAUUGAAUACUUGAAAUGUUAAGAAGGAAAAUAUAAAGGGAGAGGCUUUUCUGAGUUUUCUCCUUUCCAUGUUUUUUUCUGCUGGGGGAGGGGGGAGGAGGGGGCAGGGGUUGAGGUCGUGGUUGAGAAUGACCAAGACUAACUUUUGUACUUGGGAAACAUUCAAUUUGUUUAUGCAUUGAAGAACAUAUUAUUGUUAAGUCAUUGGCCCUCACUCAAUUUUGGUGCUAAUUGCAGCAUGUUGAAAUUCCAAUUCCCAAUCCAAACAAAGAUGAGGUGUUGCUGAAAUUGGAGGCAGCUAGUCUAAACCCAUUUGAUUGGAAAGUUCAGAAAGGCAUGCUGUGGCCAUUGUUGCCUCGCAGAUUUCCACACAUACCUGGUAAUUUGGUUUUGCUAUCUUCUUGAGACACUCUGCUGUCUAGGGGGUGCUUUUCAUGUAAACACCUCUUUAAUUAUGCUGCUUUCCAAAUAUUAUAUUGAGCUUCGUCUUGAAAACGUAGGGUGAGUGUUCCGUAAACGCUUAACAUGCUAAUAAUUUGCAUUUGAAUGUUCUGUUUUCUUAUUCAUUUGGUCCAAAUAGCUUCUGGGGUAGCCUUUUUGUGUUUUUGGGAGGGAAUGAGUAUGCAUUUUCUUUGAUGAGAUUUAAAACCUAAUGUAUUGAACUUUUACUGGACCAUCUUUUUCUGAGUAUUGUUAUGUUGACUGAAGAUAUUCCUUGUUGAAAUUUGGAACAGGUACUGAUGUGGCAGGAGAGGUUGUACAGGUAGGACCAGGAGUGAAAAAAUUCAAAGCUGGUGACAAAGUUGUAGCUAUGGUUAACCCUCUUGUAAGUGUCCAUAUGUUUUGGUUCACUUGACAUGAAAAUGUUCGCCAUUUCACUUGAACAUGUAUAUACUUCAGAACAUAAUAUAGCUUUUCUUUCCAUAAAACAUCUAUGAAUAAUUUUCUACCUAUUUGUAAAGUAGUAUCCAUUGAUCCACCAGAAUCCUUGUGUCUGUAAACCCUCAGUAACCCCUCGUCGGUAUUUUGUGCCUCUUUCCCUAGUGUCAUUACAGUUGGCAUGAAACUGAAAUUUUGCAUGUAGAAACCAUUCCUAAUGCGCUGAAUUUGAAAUCCAGGUGGUAGAAUGUCUCACUUAUAAUAUGUCAUGCAUCAUUUAAUUGAUACAUGCUUAGCCUGUUUGUCUGUUUCGUCUGUUCAUGGAUAUUGAAUUUUAGAAUGGAGGUGGACUAGCUGAGCUUGCCGUGACUAAGGAAAGCUUGACUGCUACAAGGCCACCUGAAGUUUCAGCGGCCACUGCCGUAGGAUUACCUGUUGCUGGUCUCACUGCUCACCAGGCCCUUAUCCAAUCUGCUGGGAUCAAGCUUGAUGGAAGUGGUGAGGAAGCAAACAUUCUGAUCACAGCUGCUUCUGGCGGUGUAGGUCUCUAUGCAGUUCAACUAGCAAAGCUUGGAAACACUCAUGUGACAGCCACUUGUGGAGCUCGUAACCUUGAAUUUGUCAAGAGCCUAGGUGCUGAUGAGGUUAUUGACUACAAGACCCCAGAAGGAGCA